This 884-nucleotide ribosomal RNA is filed under the name Cordyceps javanica. RNAcentral's name for it is "partial large subunit ribosomal RNA". It matches the Rfam family "Eukaryotic large subunit ribosomal RNA", at positions 40 to 956 of the family's 3401-position model. Lineage: Eukaryota; Fungi; Ascomycota; Sordariomycetes; Hypocreales; Cordycipitaceae. The record is from RNAcentral.
AUAUCAAUAAGCGGAGGAAAAGAAACCAACAGGGAUUGCCCCAGUAACGGCGAGUGAAGCGGCAACAGCUCAAAUUUGAAAUCUGGCCCUCGGGUCCGAGUUGUAAUUUGUAGAGGAUGCUUUUGGCGAGGUGCCUUCCGAGUUCCCUGGAACGGGACGCCAUAGAGGGUGAGAGCCCCGUCUGGUCGGACACCGAGCCUCUGUAAAGCUCCUUCGACGAGUCGAGUAGUUUGGGAAUGCUGCUCAAAAUGGGAGGUAUAUGUCUUCUAAAGCUAAAUAUUGGCCAGAGACCGAUAGCGCACAAGUAGAGUGAUCGAAAGAUGAAAAGCACUUUGAAAAGAGGGUUAAAAAGUACGUGAAAUUGUUGAAAGGGAAGCGCCUAUGACCAGACUUGAGCCCGGUGAAUCAUCCAGCGUUCUCGCUGGUGCACUUUGCCGGGCCCAGGCCAGCAUCAGUUUGGCGCGGGGGAUAAAGGUGACGGGAAUGUGGCUCCCUCGGGAGUGUUAUAGCCCGCUACGUAAUACCCUGCGCCGGACUGAGGUACGCGCAUUGCAAGGAUGCUGGCGUAAUGGUCAUCAGCGACCCGUCUUGAAACACGGACCAAGGAGUCGUCUUCGUAUGCGAGUGUUCGGGUGUCAAACCCCUACGCGUAAUGAAAGUGAACGCAGGUGAGAGCUUCGGCGCAUCAUCGACCGAUCCUGAUGUUCUCGGAUGGAUUUGAGUAAGAGCAUACGGGGCCGGACCCGAAAGAAGGUGAACUAUGCCUGUAUAGGGUGAAGCCAGAGGAAACUCUGGUGGAGGCUCGCAGCGGUUCUGACGUGCGAAUCGAUCGUCAAAUAUGGGCAUGGGGGCGAAAGACUAAUCGAACCUUCUAGUAGCUGGUU